AACCCAUGAUGGGGGAACCUUCUCAAUAAAUCCUUAUACCUCUCUCAUGCAUUAUAUAGGGUCUCUAAGUUGAUAUGAACGAAGGAAGAGAUAUCAUUCCUUAACUU
This is a non-coding RNA of Gossypium hirsutum (cotton), 107 nucleotides long. The record is from Rfam. Lineage: Eukaryota; Viridiplantae; Streptophyta; Magnoliopsida; Malvales; Malvaceae.